Molecule: long non-coding RNA, 1614 nt
Filed under: Theobroma cacao (cacao)
Lineage: Eukaryota; Viridiplantae; Streptophyta; Magnoliopsida; Malvales; Malvaceae
Description: long non-coding RNA (TCAC_LNC002080)
Source: RNAcentral
UCAGUGUUUGUAAAGUAUUUAAUGUGGGAAUUGAUUCAAUUGAAAGAAAUAAGAUAAAUAUGUUUGAUCAUGCAUACAAGCAAACAAAAAAAAUAUAUAUGUUUGAGCAUUAUUAUUAGAUUUUAGUACCCCUGGAUUCUUAGGAACAGUUGAAUCAGGGUGAAUAGUAGAUGCCGACAGAUCGUCUGCCUUUUUUCUUCUCGUAGUUUCCGUGUACUUGGAAAAGCAUGCUGAGGAUGAUAUUUGAAAGAACCCCAAACACCAUUAUAAAUAAGAAAGCAAAGAAAAGAGAGUGAGGCUUGGCAGUAUCUCAUACAGUAAAUUAAGAAGGAAAAAAACAGAAGGAAGAGACUGAGGCUUGGUGGUAUUUUCUACAGUACAUUCACGUAAGAAAAACCACAAUUCACAUUCAAAAUAUUUGAAUUGUUUAUGUUCAGAUUAUGUCGUGGUCAAUUGCUCUCCAAGGAUUAAUUUAGUUUCUCCUGUAUAGCAUAAGAAGAAAAAGCAAAUUGUGUUACAAGUUUCUUCCUUUUGAAGCAGAAAUAGUGAAAAAAAGCAAACAAAAUGAAAUAAUUAACUUUUGUCCCAAUUCUUAUCCACUGAUGAUAGCACAUUGAAAGUAACAAGUCACAAAACCCUGUAGGUUGAGGUACUUUCAACUCUCAAGAUGAGCACACGUUUGUGGUUCAAAAUCAGUUCAUAGUAUUCAUCACUCAUGGUGGAUUUAUGAUCAAGGAACAGUAAUGAGCUAAAAUUUCGUGUUUGGAGAACGAAUAUAAUAUGUCAUAAUUUCAUCACUCGUGGUGGAUUUAUGAUCAAGGAAUAAUGAUAGAGUCAAGAUUUCACGUUUGGAGGUCAAAGAUAAUAUCUAUAAAAUGGUCAUUUUAGAAGUUCAAUGUUUGAUAAAAAUAUAAAACAACUUAAAUCGAAAAAAUUUAUGUAAAAGUUACACAAAUAACUCUAAUUUUAUUCUAAAUACAAAAUAAAGAUAUUUUUAAAUAACUAUUGCAUGUUAAAAUUGAACAUCUUUAAUUGGGCUUGAUGGUUUUUUUUAUAGAGUUAAAAGCAUCUAUUACUAAAUCAAUAUUAAAGUCUCGAAUGAUUUUCUUUUUAAUGAGAAUGAUUAAUGAAUUUCUAAAAAAAUCAUCUGACAUUUUAUUAAAAGUUUCAUUCUUAACGAGUUUCAUAGCAAAAAAAAUACAUGCUAUAAUGUUGUAGUGAAAAUUGAAAGAGUUAAGAUAAAUCAGAUCAAUCUUUUUUUUUUUUUUUUUUGCUAAGCCAAAGAUAGCAGAGCCUCUCAUGGCAAAGAGAUCCCUGGAAAACAAGCCAAGAAAGACAAGGCUAAGAAGCAGCAUAAACAGAAAGUAAGGAAAAACAUAACAAGGGAGAUGGAAUCGAAAUCAAAAACUAAAAAAACAUAGCAGCACAGGGAAGAAACUUACAAGAAGAAAGGAAGGCGACACAUCAUCAUCUUAUAAGCAGAAAUGCAUGAAGCACAAAGAAUUUGGAAGUAGAAAAACUCUCAAGGCAGCAAACUCAGGAAAAAACAACAGGAGCAAAAGCCACAUGAAUUGAAAACAUGGAUGAUCUGUCAACACCAAGUUUAGCAAGAGA